UACGUAGGUGGCAAGCGUUGUCCGGAAUUAUUGGGCGUAAAGCGCGCGCAGGCGGUCCUUUAAGUCUGAUGUGAAAGCCCACGGCUCAACCGUGGAGGGUCAUUGGAAACUGAGGGACUUGAGUGCAGAAGAGGAAAGCGGAAUUCCACGUGUAGCGGUGAAAUGCGUAGAGAUGUGGAGGAACACCAGUGGCGAAGGCGGCGUUUCUG
RNAcentral lists this ribosomal RNA (209 nucleotides) under uncultured bacterium. RNAcentral describes it as "partial 16S ribosomal RNA". It matches the Rfam family "Bacterial small subunit ribosomal RNA", at positions 524 to 731 of the family's 1533-position model. The record is from RNAcentral.